This 406-nucleotide unclassified non-coding RNA is filed under the name uncultured fungus. Its description in RNAcentral is "partial contains small subunit ribosomal RNA, internal transcribed spacer 1, and 5.8S ribosomal RNA". The stretch from base 1 to 73 matches the Rfam family "Eukaryotic small subunit ribosomal RNA", at positions 1759 to 1831 of the family's 1831-position model. Lineage: Eukaryota; Fungi. The record is from RNAcentral.
GCAAACUUGGUCAUUUAGAGGAAGUAAAAGUCGUAACAAGGUUUCCGUAGGUGAACCUGCGGAAGGAUCAUUAUUGAAUAUUCUUGAUGGGUUGUGGCUGGCUCCUUGGAGCAUGUGCACGCCUGUCUUGACUUCAUUCAUCCACCUGUGCACUAUUUGUAGUCUUGGGGGUUGAGAGCAGUCUACUAUCAGAAUGGCUAUGGCCUGUCUGGAUGUGAGGAUUGCUGAGUGCGAAAGCAUACAGCUCUUCUCAAAUUGACUUGCAAAACCUCUCCCUCGAGUACUAUGUAUUCAUAUACCACAUAGUAUGUUGCAGAAUGUGAUCAAUGGGCCUACGUGCCUAUAAUAAUCAUAUACAACUUUCAGCAACGGAUCUCUUGGCUCUCGCAUCGAUGAAGAACGCAGC